Molecule: ribosomal RNA, 704 nt
Filed under: uncultured bacterium
Lineage: Bacteria
Description: bacterial SSU rRNA
Rfam family: Bacterial small subunit ribosomal RNA
Source: RNAcentral
GCAGUCGAACGGCAGCACGGGAGCAAUCCUGGUGGCGAGUGGCGAACGGGUGAGUAAUAUAUCGAAACGUGCCCAGUCGUGGGGGAUAACGCAGCGAAAGCUGUGCUAAUACCGCAUACGAUCUCUGGAUGAAAGCGGGGGACUCGUAAGAGCCUCGCGCGAUUGGAGCGGCCGAUAUCAGAUUAGCUAGUUGGUGGGGUAAAGGCCCACCAAGGCGACGAUCUGUAGCUGGUCUGAGAGGACGACCAGCCACACUGGAACUGAGACACGGUCCAGACUCCUACGGGAGGCAGCAGUGGGGAAUUUUGGACAAUGGGCGCAAGCCUGAUCCAGCAAUGCCGCGUGCAGGAUGAAGGCCUUCGGGUUGUAAACUGCUUUUGUACGGAACGAAAAGGUCUGCCUUAACACGGUGGGCCCAUGACGGUACCGUAAGAAUAAGCACCGGCUAACUACGUGCCAGCAGCCGCGGUAAUACGUAGGGUGCGAGCGUUAAUCGGAAUUACUGGGCGUAAAGCGUGCGCAGGCGGUUAUAUAAGACAGAUGUGAAAUCCCCGGGCUCAACCUGGGACCUGCAUUUGUGACUGUAUAGCUAGAGUACGGUAGAGGGGGAUGGAAUUCCGCGUGUAGCAGUGGAAUGCGUAGAUAUGCGGAGGAACACCGAUGGCGAAGGCAAUCCCCUGGACCUGUACUGACGCUCAUGCACG